Non-coding RNA from Cinara cedri, 276 nucleotides. Lineage: Eukaryota; Metazoa; Arthropoda; Insecta; Hemiptera; Aphididae. The record is from the annotation of a GenBank genome assembly.
CGACUAAUUUUCUAGGUUCUCGCUUUUUUCUACGCUAUAUAUACGCUAUGUAUAUAUUAUAUAGACGCCAACAAUAGGCAAUAAUCGUUGGAGCCCGGAUUCGUAUGCACGUGCAUGGUUGUUUUUUUUUUUUAUUUUAUUUUUUAGACGGUCCAAAAAGUAGCCGGACAGGCUACAAGUUUGUUGAAUAUUACACGGUCGACAGAAGCGAAAUAGAAAGUUUUAUUUUGCAUGUUUUUGCAUAUUUUUUUGACAUGUACUGCAUACUCGUAUUUC